This 253-nucleotide ribosomal RNA is filed under the name uncultured bacterium. RNAcentral describes it as "partial 16S ribosomal RNA". It matches the Rfam family "Bacterial small subunit ribosomal RNA", at positions 524 to 776 of the family's 1533-position model. The record is from RNAcentral.
UACGUAGGGUGCAAGCGUUGUCCGGAAUUAUUGGGCGUAAAGAGCUCGUAGGCGGUUUGUCGCGUCUGGUGUGAAAAUCCAGGGCUUAACCCUGGGCCUGCAUCGGGUACGGGCAGACUAGAGUUCGGUAGGGGAGAUCGGAAUUCCUGGUGUAGCGGUGAAAUGCGCAGAUAUCAGGAGGAACACCGGUGGCGAAGGCGGAUCUCUGGGCCGUAACUGACGCUGAGGAGCGAAAGCGUGGGGAGCGAACAGG